RNAcentral lists this unclassified non-coding RNA (340 nucleotides) under soil metagenome. RNAcentral's name for it is "partial contains 5.8S ribosomal RNA, internal transcribed spacer 2, and large subunit ribosomal RNA". The stretch from base 1 to 120 matches the Rfam family "5.8S ribosomal RNA", at positions 35 to 154 of the family's 154-position model. The record is from RNAcentral.
GAUGAAGAACGUAGCGAAAUGCGAUACGUAGUGUGAAUUGCAGAAUUCAGUGAAUCAUCGAAUCUUUGAACGCACAUUGCACCUCUCGGUAUUCCGGGAGGUAUGCCUGUUCGAGCGUCAUUUGUACCCUCAAGCUCUGCUUGGUGUUGGGUGUUUGUUCCGCCUCUGUGUGUGAACUCGCCUCAAAACAAUUGGCAGCCGGCGUACUUGUUUCGGAGCGCAGCACAUUUUGCGAUCCAGAUCAACGUACAGCGGCAUCCAAGAAGCCUUAUUUAACGCUCUUGACCUCGGAUCAGGUAGGGAUACCCGCUGAACUUAAGCAUAUCAAUAAGCGAAAGGA